AUUGAACGCUGGCGGCAGGCCUAACACAUGCAAGUCGAGCGGAUGAAGGGAGAUUGCUCCUGGAUUCAGCGGCGGACGGGUGAGUAAUGCCUAGGAAUCUGCCUGGUAGUGGGGGAUAACGUCCGGAAACGGGCGCUAAUACCGCAUACGUCCUGAGGGAGAAAGUGGGGGAUCUUCGGACCUCACGCUAUCAGAUGAGCCUAGGUCGGAUUAGCUAGUUGGUGGGGUAAAGGCCUACCAAGGCGACGAUCCGUAACUGGUCUGAGAGGAUGAUCAGUCACACUGGAACUGAGACACGGUCCAGACUCCUACGGGAGGCAGCAGUGGGGAAUAUUGGACAAUGGGCGAAAGCCUGAUCCAGCCAUGCCGCGUGUGUGAAGAAGGUCUUCGGAUUGUAAAGCACUUUAAGUUGGGAGGAAGGGCAGUAAGUUAAUACCUUGCUGUUUUGACGUUACCAACAGAAUAAGCACCGGCUAACUUCGUG
RNAcentral lists this ribosomal RNA (484 nucleotides) under uncultured bacterium. RNAcentral's name for it is "partial 16S ribosomal RNA". It matches the Rfam family "Bacterial small subunit ribosomal RNA", at positions 30 to 507 of the family's 1533-position model. The record is from RNAcentral.